GACUGAGUUGUGUUGGGUCUAGAGAAGACAGGCAAAAGGAGCCUCUCUUGGGGCUGCUGGUUAGGCUCGUCUACCACUGCACUUCGGGCUCGGCUGGAGUCACCAUGGGAUUUCUGCAGAGGAGACGAAAGUCACAGAAACAGCUGUGUCCUGGGAGCUGCACCUGUUCCAUAGUAACCCUGGCCCAACAUCAGCUGCUGUGGUACCCACUCCUAAGCAGCUCCAACUUCGCUGCCAUGGCCUAGAACCCGGUUUGUUUUUGUCAGAGGAGAGUGUGGUUCAAGGUGGCAGCAGAUUGUUCCGACCCAAGGUCAUUGGAGAGGGAGAAGACAGUGUGUCUGCUGUCACUGGACUGAAGAUCCCAGCAGCAAAACCGAUAUGCAAAAGUAAAGUUGUAACAACACAAAGUGAUGAGAAACUUAGUAAAGUCAGUGUGCUCAGGAGGCUUGAAGCCACCCAGAUUUUCAGAAUAGGGGCAGCAAAGAGGGAUUUUUCCCUUUCUCUCUUAAAUUUCACAAAUAUAACUCUUCAGCUGUAUCAACAGAAUAAUCUCAUCCAGUUUUGUAUUUCACCAAAACUUAAGUAAAACUCUGAGUUGGACUAAACCUGCAGACAGCACACUGUAUGACUGCGUGGUCUUAGUUUUGGGCACAGCCUCAGUCUAGUCUUCUACUGAAGCCUGUUCUAUGACGAUUCUCACAAUUACUGACACUAGCUUUACCAGGUUCCCAGAGUCUGCAUUUGAAACCUACACCCGGGGUCCUCUGAGGAUUUCUUCUACAGGCCAUGGUGUUCCAGCGCGUGAGUGGCUUGUGCUGAUCGGAUGAAGGGUACGUGGUGGGGGAUUGCGCCUCCUGGCAGACUGCGUUGUAUAUGACAAAGAUGAUGUACUAAGCUCCAUGGCACGGUUUGGCCAAUUUCGGUUUGAAAGGACGGAACUGGACCCAGGCCUCGGUCUGAGCAGCUCCAGAGGACGUCAGCAGCUGCUUGCCUAUUUCCCCAAACACGCCGCUGGACUGGUUCUGCAUCUGAGAGCCAAGCACUCUCUCAGCAUCUGUCUGUUCACACUCCCAGCUCCGCUCAGGCGUUGGAGUUUUGAUAGGGACCACACUAGACCUACAGAUCUACUUGGAAGUACUGUCACCUCAACAGUGUGACGUCUUCCAACCCAUGGACACGGGCGAUCUUUCCCACGCUGCUUUAGGUUUUGGUCUUCUGUAAUUUCAUAUGUUCACAGGUUUAUUACCAUCAUGGUGGGAAACAUGGCAGUGCGCAGGCAAGCAUAGUGCUGAAGAAGGAGCUGAGAGUUCUCCAUCUGGAUUGGCAGACAACAGGAAGAGGCCUGGCUUUAAGCAUUUGAAACUCCAAAGACCACCCCCAAUGAUACAUUUCCUCUAACAAUGCCACAUGUACUCCAACAAGGCCACAAGUCCUAAUCCUUUCAACUAAUGCCACUUCCUCUGAGCCUCUGGGGGCCAUUUUCAUCCAAACCACCAUAUAUUCUGUCUGGCUUCUCUCAGCAGAAGCAUUUUUUUGGGAACAUAUACAACAUAUAAUGACAGAAACAGGGGCUUAUAAAGGACAUGAACUUUUGGGAGUGAUGGAUGGUCACUGUACUGACUGUGGUGAGGGCUUCACAGGUAUAUACUACAUAGAACAGAACUUCCCAAACUUUCCACUUCAUGUACGUGAGGUGUCACGUGUGUUAACUACUCUUCACUCAGACAGUCUGAGAAGCACGCACUACUUACAUGGCCUCCUCACAGAUGUGUCGGAGGAGAAAGUACAAACUCUGAUGACCACAGAUGAGGCCUCAUUACUCCUCUACCCACGCUCAAAUAUUUACUAAGUUCUUUGCUAGUCUCUGUGAGAAACACCAACUUUAAUCAGACUUAUUUG
Molecule: long non-coding RNA, 1899 nt
Filed under: Mus musculus (house mouse)
Lineage: Eukaryota; Metazoa; Chordata; Mammalia; Rodentia; Muridae
Description: predicted gene, 30054
Source: RNAcentral